RNAcentral lists this ribosomal RNA (484 nucleotides) under uncultured bacterium. RNAcentral's name for it is "partial 16S ribosomal RNA". It matches the Rfam family "Bacterial small subunit ribosomal RNA", at positions 28 to 523 of the family's 1533-position model. The record is from RNAcentral.
GACGAACGCUGGCGGCGUGCUUAACACAUGCAAGUCGAGCGGUGAACUUGGAGCUUACUCCGGGGGGUCAGUGGCGAACGGGUGAGUAACACGUGAGUAACCUGCCCCAGACUCUGGGAUAACCUCGGGAAACCGUGGCUAAUACCGGAUACGAGAUGGGACCGCAUGGUCAUUGUCUGGAAAGAAUUUCGGUCUGGGAUGGACUCGCGGUCUAUCAGCUAGUUGGUGAGGUAAGGGCUCACCAAGGGGAGGACGGGUAGCCGGCCUGAGAGGGCAACCGGCCACACUGGAACUGAGACACGGUCCAGACUCCUACGGGAGGCAGCAGUGGGGAAUAUUGCACAAUGGGCGCAAGACUGAUGCAGCGACGCCGCGUGGGGGAUGAAGGCCUUCGGGUUGUAAACCCCUUUCAGCAGGGAAGAAGCGAAAGUGACGGUACCUGCAGAAGAAGCGCCGGCUAACUACGUGCCAGCAGCCGCCGUAA